Molecule: ribosomal RNA, 768 nt
Filed under: Geotrichum candidum
Lineage: Eukaryota; Fungi; Ascomycota; Dipodascomycetes; Dipodascales; Dipodascaceae
Description: partial large subunit ribosomal RNA
Rfam family: Eukaryotic large subunit ribosomal RNA
Source: RNAcentral
CGGCCCCCAGGUCGAGUUGUAAUUUGUAGAUUGUAUCUUGAGAGCGGAUUAAAGUCUGUUGGAACACAGCGCCUUAGAGGGUGACAGCCCCGUAAAAUCUAUUCUCAUUGUAAGAUACUUUCGAAGAGUCGAGUUGUUUGGGAAUGCAGCUCUAAGUGGGAGGUAAAUUCCUUCUAAAGCUAAAUAUUGACGAGAGACCGAUAGCGAACAAGUACUGUGAAGGAAAGAUGAAAAGCACUUUGAAAAGAGAGUGAAAAAGUACGUGAAAUUGUUAAAAGGGAAGGGUAUUGAAUCAGACUUGGUGCUGUUGUUCAACUGUGUUUUGGCACAGUGUACUCAGCAGUACUAGGCCAAGGUGGGGUGUUUGGGAGUGAAAAAGAAGUUGGAACGUAACUCUUCGGAGUGUUAUAGCCUACUUUCAUAGCUCCUCAGGCGCCUCAGGACUGCGCUUCGGCAAGGACCUUGGCAUAAUGAUUCUAUACCGCCCGUCUUGAAACACGGACCAAGGAGUCUAACGUCUAUGCGAGUGUUUGGGUGUAAAACCCGUACGCGUAAUGAAAGUGAACGUAGAUAGGAGCAGUAAUGCGCACUAUCGACCGAUCCUGAUGUUUUCAGAUGGAUUUGAGUAAGAGCAUAGCUGUUGGGACCCGAAAGAUGGUGAACUAUGCCUGAAUAGGGUGAAGCCAGAGGAAACUCUGGUGGAGGCUCGUAGCGGUUCUGACGUGCAAAUCGAUCGUCGAAUUUGGGUAUAGGGGCGAAAGACUAAUC